GCCCCGGUAGCUCAGCGGAUAGAGCAGCCGCCUCCUAAGCGGCAGGUCGCAGGUUCGACUCCUGCCCGGGGCACCA
This 76-nucleotide transfer RNA is filed under the name Halomonas denitrificans. RNAcentral describes it as "tRNA-Arg". It matches the Rfam family "tRNA". From Rfam's summary of the family: Transfer RNA (tRNA) molecules are approximately 80 nucleotides in length. Their secondary structure includes four short double-helical elements and three loops (D, anti-codon, and T loops). Further hydrogen bonds mediate the characteristic L-shaped molecular structure. tRNAs have two regions of fundamental functional importance: the anti-codon, which is responsible for specific mRNA codon recognition, and the 3' end, to which the tRNAs corresponding amino acid is attached (by aminoacyl-tRNA synthetases). tRNAs cope with the degeneracy of the genetic code in two manners: having more than one tRNA (with a specific anti-codon) for a particular amino acid; and 'wobble' base-pairing, i.e. permitting non-standard base-pairing at the 3rd anti-codon position. Lineage: Bacteria; Pseudomonadati; Pseudomonadota; Gammaproteobacteria; Oceanospirillales; Halomonadaceae. The record is from RNAcentral. RNAcentral also lists the same sequence under 2 other names.